Molecule: ribosomal RNA, 223 nt
Filed under: uncultured bacterium
Lineage: Bacteria
Description: partial 16S ribosomal RNA
Rfam family: Bacterial small subunit ribosomal RNA
Source: RNAcentral
CGCCCUUCAGAGGGGGGAAACAGUUGGAAACGACUGCUAAUACCGCAUACGAUCUAAUCUCGGCAUCGAGGAUGGAUGAAAGGUGGCCUCUAUUUAUAAGCUAUCACUGAAGGAGGGGAUUGCGUCUGAUUAGCUAGUUGGAGGGGUAACGGCCCACCAAGGCGAUGAUCAGUAGCCGGUCUGAGAGGAUGAACGGCCACAUUGGGACUGAGACACGGCCCAG